CUACGUGCCAGCAGCCGCGGUAAUACGGAAGGUCCGGGCGUUAUCCGGAUUUAUUGGGUUUAAAGGGAGCGUAGGCCGGAGAUUAAGUGUGUUGUGAAAUGUAGACGCUCAACGUCUGACUUGCAGCGCAUACUGGUUUCCUUGAGUACGCACAACGUUGGCGGAAUUCGUCGUGUAGCGGUGAAAUGCUUAGAUAUGACGAAGAACUCCGAUUGCGAAGGCAGCUGACGGGAGCGCAACUGACGCUUAAGCUCGAAGGUGCGGGUAUCGAACAGGAUUAGAUACCCUGGUAGUCCGCACAGUAAACGAUGGAUGCCCGCUGUUGGUACCUGGUAUCAGCGGCUAAGCGAAAGCAUUAAGCAUCCCACCUGGGGAGUACGCCGGCAACGGUGAAACUCAAAGGAAUUGACGGGGGCCCGCACAAGCGGAGGAACAUGUGGUUUAAUUCGAUGAUACGCGAGGAGCCUUACCCGGGCUUGAA
Molecule: ribosomal RNA, 481 nt
Filed under: uncultured bacterium
Lineage: Bacteria
Description: bacterial SSU rRNA
Rfam family: Bacterial small subunit ribosomal RNA
Source: RNAcentral